AGGGUCAGCCGGAUAAUCGCGGAAACUUUGUUUCUGAGGAAAGUCCGAGCUCCAAAGGGCAGGACGCCGGGUAACGCCCGGGCAGGCAGACGAAAGUCAUGUCUGACAGAUAGUGCAACAGAAAAUACACCGCCGUAUAUUUACUGUUCGUAUGCUUUUUUAAGCAUUUACGAACCUUGAUUUGGUAAAAUAACGGUAAGGGUGAAAUGGCGGGGUAAGAGCCCACCAGCGGUCAGGCAACUGGCUGGCUUUGAAAACCUCAUCCGGAGCAAGACCAAAUAGGGAAGAUACGGGGCUGCCCGCCUCUCUUCCGGGUUGGUCGCUUGAGGCAUAUAGCAAUAUAUGUCCCAGAUAGAUGAUUAUCGGCAACCCGAAAGGGUUGUUACAGAACUCGGCUUACAGGCUGGCCCUGCUG
This 415-nucleotide RNase P RNA is filed under the name Actinomycetota bacterium. RNAcentral's name for it is "Actinobacteria bacterium (anaerobic digester metagenome) RNase P RNA component class A". It matches the Rfam family "Bacterial RNase P class A". From Rfam's summary of the family: Ribonuclease P (RNase P) is a ubiquitous endoribonuclease, found in archaea, bacteria and eukarya as well as chloroplasts and mitochondria. The record is from RNAcentral. Lineage: Bacteria; Bacillati; Actinomycetota.